Molecule: long non-coding RNA, 347 nt
Filed under: Arachis ipaensis
Lineage: Eukaryota; Viridiplantae; Streptophyta; Magnoliopsida; Fabales; Fabaceae
Description: long non-coding RNA (AIPA_LNC001180)
Source: RNAcentral
AAUCCAACCAUCAACCAAAUCACCACAAUCCAACAGAGUCCCAGUUGCAAACACAGAUAGGAAGUUCAAGCACAAACAACAGUUACAGCAAGUAGAACAAUUAGCAGUUAAUCAUAUAGACAAACCAAGUACAAUAUGCACACCCAAACAAUGUCACAUAGAUGCAUAUGAUGCAUGCCUGUCCCUAGUGGCUGAUGAUAUCAUCUGUCGGUUAUAUAGCCAACCCGACACGUCCUGGUAGCUAACCAUGGACAGAAACACCCAUCGCGGAGCAAGUAGGUUUGAGCUACAACCCCAUUGCUACUACCCGUUCAACCCAGAGCCAGUGGAAUAACCACUACUGCGGC